RNAcentral lists this small nuclear RNA (301 nucleotides) under Castor canadensis (American beaver). RNAcentral describes it as "7SK RNA (ENSCCNG00000007497.1)". It matches the Rfam family "7SK RNA", at positions 1 to 279 of the family's 331-position model. Rfam says of the family: 7SK was discovered as an abundant small nuclear RNA in the mid-70s but a possible function has only recently been suggested. Two independent studies have found that 7SK RNA binds the CDK9/cyclin T complex (known as elongation factor P-TEFb). P-TEFb activates transcription by phosphorylating the C-terminal domain of RNA polymerase II. Lineage: Eukaryota; Metazoa; Chordata; Mammalia; Rodentia; Castoridae. The record is from Rfam by way of RNAcentral.
AAAUAUGAGGGCAAUCUGCUGCAACAUCUGUCACCCCAUUGAUCACCAGGGUUGAUUUGGCUGAUCUGGCUGGCUCAGUGGGUGUCUCCUUUCUCCCUCACUGCUCCAUGUGCAUCCCUCCCAAAGCUGUGUGAUCAUCCCUGAUAAAGGAUGAACAUUCUUUGGUCAAGGGUAUACGAGUAGCUGCACUCCUCUGCUAGAACCUCCAAACAAGUUCUCAAAACAAUACAUCCAUUGAACAUCUAAUGAAAAUACACAUAGGUGAUACUGGAUGCAGUUUGCAGAGACUAUGAACUGAUGU